This 2037-nucleotide unclassified non-coding RNA is filed under the name Hevea brasiliensis (rubber tree). The record is from RNAcentral. Lineage: Eukaryota; Viridiplantae; Streptophyta; Magnoliopsida; Malpighiales; Euphorbiaceae.
GAGAAAAUUACAGUAGGUGGGUUUUGGGUAUAUAAAGGGAACUGGGUUAAUGAUGUUGCAUUUGCAGGUGGUACACAGCAUGGACGCAUUUCAUACUCAUAUGGGCGAUUUAUUCAUCUUUCUUCACUCCUUUGGAGUUUGGAUUCUUCAGAGGUCUCCCAGAGAACCUUUUCCUUCUCGACAUUGCUGGUCAGAUAGCUUUUCUCAUUGACAUUGUCGUUCGUUUCUUUGUUGCCUAUCGCGACACUCAGUCCCGUCGCUUGGUCUACAAUCGAAAUCUCAUUGCCAUUAGGUACUUGAAAUCUCGGUUUUUGGUUGAUCUUUUGGGUUGUCUUCCCUGGGAUGCUAUCUACAAGGCUUGUGGGAAAAAAGAGGCAGCUAGGUACAUGUUAUGGAUUAGGCUAAGCCGGGCCCGCAGAGUGACAGAUUUUUUUGAGAGGUUGGAGAAAGAUAUCAGGAUCAACUACCUUUUUACGAGAAUUGUGAAACUUCUUGUUGUUGAACUAUAUUGCACACAUACAGCUGCCUGCAUAUUUUACUAUCUAGCUACUACCUUGCCUCCCUCUGAGGAAGGUUACACAUGGAUAGGAAGUCUACAGAUGGGUGACUAUCACUAUUCACACUUCAGAGACGUUGAUCUUUGGAAGCUUUAUAUAACAUCGCUCUAUUUUGCCAUUGUUACCAUGGCAACUGUUGGCUAUGGAGAAAUACAUGCAGUCAAUGUCAGGGAAAUGAUAUUUGUCAUGAUUUAUGUAUCUUUUGACAUGAUUCUUGGUGCUUAUCUGCUUGGUAACAUGACUGCAUUAAUUGUAAAAGGAUCAAAGACUGAAAAGUUUAGAGAUAAAAUGGCUGAACUUAUCAAAUAUAUGAAUAGAAACAAUCUUGGAAAGGGCAUAAGCAAUGAGAUCAAGGGCCAUCUGAGAUUGCAAUUUGAUCGCAGCUAUACUGAAGCUGCUGUUCUUCAGGAUAUUCCAGCUUCUAUACGCGCAAAGAUCUCACAGAAGUUGUAUGAACCAUAUAUUAAAGAAGUUCCUCUUUUCAAGGGGUGCUCUUUGGGUUUCAUUACACAGAUUGCAAUAAAGGUGCAUGAGGAAUUUUUUCUCCCAGGAGAAGUGAUUAUAGAACAGGGCCAUGUGGUGGAUCAACUUUAUUUUGUCUGUCAUGGUGAAUUGGUCAUGGUAAUAGUUCAUCUUCAAGCCUUAUAUUUAUGCUGCAGGGGAGGAAGUGGGAAAAGGAGGAAAUGAUGAAACUGUUCCCAUGUGUCUGCAAACAUAUAGUUCAUUUGGUGAAAUUUCUUUUCUUUGCAACACUCCUCAGCCAUAUACAGUUCGAGUUAGGGAACUUUGCAGGGUCUUGCGACUUGAUAAGCAAUCAUUUACAGAGAUCCUUGAGAUAUACUUCUUUGAUGGACGAAUUAUCUUGAACAACCUCCUUGAGGGAAAGGACUCCAAUCUACGGAAUGACUUAUUGGAGUCGGAUGUCACCCUUUACAUUGAAAAGUCUGAAUCAGUUCUUGCUACAAGGUUGAACUGGGCUGCAUAUGAUGGAGAUUUUUAUCGGUUGAAACGUUUGAUUGGAGCUGGAGCAGAUCCUAAUAAGACAGAUUAUGAUGGAAGAUCACCUCUGCACAUUGCUGCAACUAAAGGAUAUGAAGAUAUAACACUUUUCCUUAUUGAGCAAGGAGUGGAUGUCAACAUUUCAGAUAAGUUUGGAAACACUCCCUUGCUUGAAGCUGUCAAGGGUGGGCAUGAUGAAGUAGGAUCUGCACUAGUUAGAGCCGGGGCAACACUGGAAAUUGACGACGCUGGUGAUUUUCUCUGUAUGACAGUUGCAAGAAGGGAUUUGGGUCUCUUGAAAAGAGCUUUGGCCAAUGGAAUGAAUCCAAAUGCCAAAAAUUUUGAUAGCAGAACACCACUUCACAUAGCUGCCUCAGAAGGGUUGUAUCCAAUGGCAAAGUUACUUCUAGAAGCAGGAGCUAGUGUUUUCUCAAAGGAUAGAUGGGGGAAUACGCCACUUGAUGAAGCCCGUCUAGGUGGC